CCGGAUUUUGUGCCCACAAUAUUUCCUCACCGUACUGUGGCAGACCCAAACCAGAAAUUGAAUAGGUAUAAACACGCCAGGAAACGUGAGCAGACGUCACCCCUUCUCAAACGCAAGGUGGCAAAAACGACUGCUGUGAGCCCAGAUCUACCUACAAUUCUCGAUGGAGACCAUUGCCCAGCUGACAACGAUGAUGCUGACGAUGUCCCUGAUGAAAUGCGUGAGUCAAGGAACUGCCUGUCAUCUUUUUCUUUGGAGGAAAAUGAUGGAAAGUGCCGACAGAUGACUGGACUCAGCUGGAUGAUGUUUUUGAGCCUAUUUACAUUUCUUAACCAGUUUGUGAAGAGGCGAGGCUGCAUCUCCCUUCCACCGCGGGACCAGCUGUUUAUUACACUGAUAAAACUACGUCAAAACCCAUCCUUUUUGUUCUUAAGUCACGUUCUGAAAAUGCCUCAAACAACUGUCAGGCAAAUUUUUAUCCGAUGGCUUGACCUGAUGUAUGGGAAAAUUUCCUUUUUAGUUCACUGGCCUGAUAGGGAAUGUUUUUCACUGAUACCUCCACAAAUGAAGGCCCAGUUCCCACGACUCACAGCAAUCAUAGAUUGUUUUGAAAUCAGGACAGAGUACCCUAGCAACCUUAAAGCUAGAGCAAAAUCAUACUCUAACUAAAAGAAAUGGACAACAGUGAAAUAUCUAAUAGCAUGCAGUCCAUCUGGCAGCAUUAGAUUUUUGUCAAAUGGAUGGGGAGGAAGGGCCUCUGAUGUGCAUAUUGUUCGACAGUCAGGAUUCCUGUCCUCAGUGUACCAUUCUCCAGGUGAUCAGAUAUUAGCUGACAGGGGGUUUACACUCCAGGAUGACUUUGCCCUCCUCGGUGUCGAGCUGCUAACACCGUCAUUCACAAAAGGAAGGAAGCAGUUACCUGGGAGAGAGGUGGAAAUGUCUCGUAGGAAGUCAAACAUCCGGAUUCACAUUGGUAAGUAAAACUAGAUUA
Rhinichthys klamathensis goyatoka is the source of this 991-nucleotide long non-coding RNA. RefSeq lists it as uncharacterized. NCBI's taxonomy places the organism in Eukaryota, Metazoa, Chordata, Actinopteri, Cypriniformes, Leuciscidae. The transcript is spliced from 4 exons. The record is from RefSeq and is a predicted model, not a curated record.